Molecule: long non-coding RNA, 130 nt
Organism: Mytilus trossulus (common blue mussel)
Lineage: Eukaryota; Metazoa; Mollusca; Bivalvia; Mytilida; Mytilidae
Exons: 3
Source: RefSeq, a predicted model, not a curated record
UUGUAUCUUUCUCUCCUCUGUCUCUUUGCUGUGUACACUUUUGUCUCAGCCUCAGCACUGCCGUAUAAUGUAGCUUCUGCACAUGCUAGUGCUACAGCCUACAACCCAGGAAAAUACAAUCCAGGAAAUA